RNAcentral lists this ribosomal RNA (274 nucleotides) under uncultured bacterium. Its description in RNAcentral is "partial 16S ribosomal RNA". It matches the Rfam family "Bacterial small subunit ribosomal RNA", at positions 523 to 796 of the family's 1533-position model. The record is from RNAcentral.
AUACGGAGGGUGCAAGCGUUACUCGGAAUCACUGGGCGUAAAGCGCGCGCAGGCGGCUAUUUAAGUUGGAUGUGAAAGCCUACGGCUCAACCGUAGAACUGCAUCCAAAACUAUUUAGCUAGAGUGUGUGAGAGGAAGAUGGAAUUAGUUGUGUAGGGGUAAAAUCCGUAGAGAUAACUAGGAAUACCAAAAGCGAAGGCAAUCUUCUGGAACACUACUGACGCUGAGGGACGAAAGCGUGGGGAGCGAACAGAAUUAGAUACCCGGGUAGUCC